CCUACGGGAGACAGCAGUGAGGAAUAUUGGUCAAUGGACGCAAGCCUGAACCAGCCACGCCGCGUGAAGGAAGACGGCCCUAUGAGUUGUAAACUGCUUUUGUAAGAGGGUAAACGCAGAUACGCGUAUAUGUCUGAAAGUACCGUACGAAUAAGGAUCGGCUACCUCCGUGCCAGCAGCCGCGGUAAAACGGAGGAUUCAAGCGUUAUCCGGAUUUAUUGGGUUUAAAGGGUGCGUAGGCGGUCUGAUAAGGUAGAGGUGAAAUCCCGCGGCUCAACUUCGGAAUUGCCUUUGAUACUGUUCGUCUAGAGUGUAGUUGCGGUAGGCGUAAUUUCUGGUGUAGCGGUGACAUGCUUCGAUAUCAUGCAGAACUCCGAUUGCGAAGGCAGCUUACCGGCGCCCAACUGACGCUGAUGCACGAAAGCGUGGGUAUCAAACAGGAUUAGAUACCCGGGUAGUC
Molecule: ribosomal RNA, 460 nt
Filed under: uncultured bacterium
Lineage: Bacteria
Description: partial 16S ribosomal RNA
Rfam family: Bacterial small subunit ribosomal RNA
Source: RNAcentral